AUAUGAAUGAAUUCCAUGCUACAUCAGUGAGUUCUUCUCGUCCUCCUAUCUGUGGCAGAGGCAAGAUCAUGUGGUACUUAACACAGACCCAGGACUGCUCCUUCUGGCUUGUGAGUGUUGUUAUCAAACAGAGGAGGAAAAUGGAAGCCCUGGAGGAGGCUGAGUGCCUAGGAAAGAGGGAUCCUGAAAUGGUGGAGAAGUAAAGAAGCUCCAGUCUGACAAAAGGGUUGUGCUGCCGGGCCGAGAUGGAGCUCAGAAAGUACAAACCCUCCUUCACUUGUGGCCUGAUGAAGGAAACAUCCUGUUGCCUGCCUGACCCACGACAAAGUGCACAAGAGAUCGUACCCCAGCCGACUUCCUGUCAGAGAGAGCCAAGCAAACAUGCUCGCUUGCUCUGAGCCUUUAAAAUAUCUCCCCUUAGAUUUCUAAGGAAAUGUGAGGCGAAGAGAUAACAGACAAACCAAGUGUGUUUAAAGAUGCCCUUUUGGGGCCGUUUUGUCAGUUUUUGGAAGGGUUGGUUAUCCAGGAUAAUCUGAAGGCUAGGAAAUAAAGGAGAGUUAGGGUUUGUACUGGAGCCAUCUGAGAGCAAGGCCCUCUUCUAAAA
Long non-coding RNA from Heterocephalus glaber (naked mole-rat), 604 nucleotides. NCBI's taxonomy places the organism in Eukaryota, Metazoa, Chordata, Mammalia, Rodentia, Bathyergidae. The record is from Ensembl.